UCUCGAUGAUGAUAAAAAAGCACGCUGAGCAAAAUGUAGUUGGUCCUUCAUUUGCAUUAGCUGAUGUUUACUGUCCUUUUCAAGACGGGGCUGAGAGAAGC
Molecule: small nucleolar RNA, 101 nt
Filed under: Neolamprologus brichardi
Lineage: Eukaryota; Metazoa; Chordata; Actinopteri; Cichliformes; Cichlidae
Description: Small nucleolar RNA SNORD21 (ENSNBRG00000002663.1)
Source: RNAcentral